CCUACGGGAGGCAGCAGUCGAGAAUCAUUCACAAUGGGGGAAACCCUGAUGCUGCGACGCCGCGUGGGGGAAUGAAGGUCUUCGGAUUGUAAACCCCUGUCAUGUGGGAGCAAAUUAAAAAGAUAGUACCAUAAGAGGAAGCGACGGCUAACUCUGUGCCAGCAGCCGCGGGAAUACAGAGGUGUCAAGCGUUGUUCGGAUUCACUGGGCGUAAAGCGUGCGUAGGCUGUUUUGUAAGUCGGGUGUGAAAGGUGGGGGCUCAACCCGCGGACUGCACAUGAUACUGCGAGACUAGAGUAAAGGAGAGGGAAGCGGAAUUCUCGGUGUAGCAGUGAAAUGCGUAGAUAUCGGGAGGAACACUCGUGGCGAAGGCGGGUUCCUGGACAGUAACUGACGCUGAGGCACGAAAGCCAGGGGAGCAAAAGGGAUUAGAUACCCUAGUAGUC
This 446-nucleotide ribosomal RNA is filed under the name uncultured bacterium. RNAcentral's name for it is "partial 16S ribosomal RNA". It matches the Rfam family "Bacterial small subunit ribosomal RNA", at positions 338 to 795 of the family's 1533-position model. The record is from RNAcentral.